GACGAACGCUGGCGGCGUGCUUAACACAUGCAAGUCGAACGGAAAGGCCCUGCUUGCAGGGUACUCGAGUGGCGAACGGGUGAGUAACACGUGGGUGAUCUGCCCUGCACUUCGGGAUAAGCCUGGGAAACUGGGUCUAAUACCGGAUAGGAGCCAUUUUUAGUGUGAUGGUUGGAAAGUUUUUUCGGUGUAGGAUGAGCUCGCGGCCUAUCAGCUUGUUGGUGGGGUAAUGGCCUACCAAGGCGGCGACGGGUAGCCGGCCUGAGAGGGUGGACGGCCACAUUGGGACUGAGAUACGGCCCAGACCCCUACGGGAGGCAGCAGUGGGGAAGAUUGAACAAUGGGCGCAAGCCUGAUGCAGCGCCGCCGCGUGGGGGAUGACGGCCUUCGGGUUGGAAACUCCUUUCGCUAGGGACGAAGCUUUUUGUGACGGUACCUAGAUAAGAAGCACCGGCUAACUACGUG
This 465-nucleotide ribosomal RNA is filed under the name uncultured bacterium. Its description in RNAcentral is "partial 16S ribosomal RNA". It matches the Rfam family "Bacterial small subunit ribosomal RNA", at positions 28 to 507 of the family's 1533-position model. The record is from RNAcentral.